CAAGGAGUAUGUCAGAUGUUUACCUGCUUACCAUCUCACUUUCUCUGCCUCGGACAGAAAGUUGAAGGUUGAAGUUGUGGGUAGUUGUCAGAGUACUUCAUCAAGACAGCAACUAACGCCCCUUGUAAAUACUCCCAAAAAUUGUUCACAAAUCCAGCUGGUGGAGCGGAAAUGGCCUUGACCAUUUUUUUUAGUGAACUGAGAAAUGCUGUGCGAGGAAGAAAUUAGAUUGCGGACAAUGGAUUGAAAGUCCACGAGAAGGAGAAAAAGAAUCAACUUUCCAGAUAGGGAACUCAUUUUUCUUUUAAUAAAUUGAGGGAAAACUGGAAGAAGAGUCGACGGGAGGAAGAAAAAAAGAUUUAACUUUUCAAGAUUGAGGAAAAUCACAAGGAAAUACUAAAGGGAGGAGAAAAAGAUUAGCUUUUCAGUUUUAGACAAAAAUUUAGGUAUCAGAACUCAGCAGAUCAUAAUCUUCUUAUUCAGAUAUGAGAGUUAAAGCAAAGGAGCUGGGGCUGUUAGCUGAGUCAUAUUUGGAGGGAAUGCAAUCAAUAUACAAAUUGAUUGGCCAAGUGCAGCAUUUAUGGUCCAUUGGGUUCACAAGUUCUUGAUGACAUCCCUGCAGAGAUGCGAGAUUUGUUGGAAGCGUAUGUGUUAGCCGUUGCUUAUUCUCAUUUUGUUUCUAUUUAAGAGAUUAUGACCUCUUCCAAUGUACCCAAAAAA
Molecule: long non-coding RNA, 720 nt
Organism: Coffea eugenioides
Lineage: Eukaryota; Viridiplantae; Streptophyta; Magnoliopsida; Gentianales; Rubiaceae
Exons: 5
Source: RefSeq, a predicted model, not a curated record